RNAcentral lists this transfer RNA (85 nucleotides) under Felis catus (domestic cat). It matches the Rfam family "tRNA". Rfam says of the family: Transfer RNA (tRNA) molecules are approximately 80 nucleotides in length. Their secondary structure includes four short double-helical elements and three loops (D, anti-codon, and T loops). Further hydrogen bonds mediate the characteristic L-shaped molecular structure. tRNAs have two regions of fundamental functional importance: the anti-codon, which is responsible for specific mRNA codon recognition, and the 3' end, to which the tRNAs corresponding amino acid is attached (by aminoacyl-tRNA synthetases). tRNAs cope with the degeneracy of the genetic code in two manners: having more than one tRNA (with a specific anti-codon) for a particular amino acid; and 'wobble' base-pairing, i.e. permitting non-standard base-pairing at the 3rd anti-codon position. RNAcentral also lists the same sequence under 2 other names. The record is from Rfam by way of RNAcentral. Lineage: Eukaryota; Metazoa; Chordata; Mammalia; Carnivora; Felidae.
GCCAGGUUGGCUCAGUUGGCUAGGCAUCUGACUUCAGCUCAGGUCAUGAUCUCAUGGUUCGUGAGUUCAAGCCCCGCAUCAGGCU